UACGUAGGGUGCAAGCGUUAAUCGGAAUUACUGGGCGUAAAGGGCGCGUAGGCGGCGUGUCAAGUCAGGCGUGAAAGCCCCGGGCUCAACCUGGGAACCGCGCUUGAGACUGGCAUGCUCGAGUUCGGGAGAGGAUGGUGGAAUUCCCAGUGUAGAGGUGAAAUUCGUAGAUAUUGGGAAGAACACCGGUGGCGAAGGCGGCGACCUGGUCCGAUACUGACGCUGAGGCGCGAAAGCGUGGAGAGCAAGCAGG
RNAcentral lists this ribosomal RNA (253 nucleotides) under uncultured bacterium. RNAcentral describes it as "partial 16S ribosomal RNA". It matches the Rfam family "Bacterial small subunit ribosomal RNA", at positions 524 to 776 of the family's 1533-position model. The record is from RNAcentral.